This 450-nucleotide ribosomal RNA is filed under the name uncultured bacterium. RNAcentral describes it as "partial 16S ribosomal RNA". It matches the Rfam family "Bacterial small subunit ribosomal RNA", at positions 338 to 795 of the family's 1533-position model. The record is from RNAcentral.
CCUACGGGGGGCUGCAGUAGGGAAUAUUGGGCAAUGGACGAAAGUCUGACCCAGCCAUGCCGCGUGCAGGAUGACUGCCCUAUGGGUUGUAAACUGCUUUUCUAUGGGAAGAAACACUCAUACGUGUAUGAACUUGACGGUACCAUAGGAAUAAGGAGCGGCUAACUCCGUGCCAGCAGCCGCGGUAAUCCGGAGGAUCCAAGCGUUGUCGGGAGUCAUGGGGUUGUAGGGGUACGUCUAAGGACGAGGUGAAAUCUUGCGGCUCAACCGUAGAAUUGCCUUUGAAACUGGUAGUCUUGAGUUCGGUCGAGGUGGAUGGAAUGUGUCGUGUAGCGGUGAAAUGCUUAGAUAUGACCCAGAACACCAAUUGCGAAGGCAGUUCACUAGACCGAUACUGACGCUGAGGCACGAAAGCGUGGGGAGCGAACAGGAUUAGAUACCCCAGUAGUC